UCUGCUAGGGGCAUUGCAUUACAGGUGUGACUACAGAGUUCCAUAUGAAUCAGUAGGUGGUAGAAAGGAGACGGGUUAUGUAUAUGCUCAGUGUUCUGAUAUAGGACCCUCUGAAUGAUUAUCAGCCCAACAUU
Rattus norvegicus (Norway rat) is the source of this 134-nucleotide small nucleolar RNA. Ensembl annotates it as small nucleolar RNA SNORA17. Lineage: Eukaryota; Metazoa; Chordata; Mammalia; Rodentia; Muridae. The record is from Ensembl.